AUACUUUCCAAGACCGUUGUCUGCUACAG
Molecule: non-coding RNA, 29 nt
Filed under: Cricetulus griseus (Chinese hamster)
Lineage: Eukaryota; Metazoa; Chordata; Mammalia; Rodentia; Cricetidae
Source: RNAcentral